RNAcentral lists this unclassified non-coding RNA (433 nucleotides) under soil metagenome. RNAcentral's name for it is "partial contains 5.8S ribosomal RNA, internal transcribed spacer 2, and large subunit ribosomal RNA". The stretch from base 1 to 120 matches the Rfam family "5.8S ribosomal RNA", at positions 35 to 154 of the family's 154-position model. The record is from RNAcentral.
GAUGAAGAACGUAGCGAAAUGCGAUACGUAAUGUGAAUUGCAGUAUUCAGUGAAUCAUCGAAUCUUUGAACGCAUAUUGCGCUCUCUGGUAUUCCGGAGAGCAUGCUUGUUUGAGUAUCAGUAAACACCUCAACUUCCAUAUCUUUUUUGAAAUGGGAGUUGGACUUGAGUGAUCCCAACGCUUUUCCUCACCGAAAAGUGGCGGGUUACUUGAAAUGCAGGUGCAGCUGGACUUUUCUCUGAGCUAUAAGCAUAUCUAUUUAGUCUGCCUAAAAAACAGAUUAUUACCUUUGCUGCAGCUAACAUAAAGGAGAUUAGUUCUUGUGCUGACUGAUGCAGGAUUCACAAAGACAGGCUUCGGCCGACUUUGUAAACUCGAUCUCAAAUCAAGUAAGACUACCCGCUGAACUUAAGCAUAUCAAUAAGCGGAGGA